Molecule: transfer RNA, 76 nt
Filed under: Odoribacter sp.
Lineage: Bacteria; Pseudomonadati; Bacteroidota; Bacteroidia; Bacteroidales; Odoribacteraceae
Also listed under: 3 other names
Description: tRNA-Gly
Rfam family: tRNA
About the family: Transfer RNA (tRNA) molecules are approximately 80 nucleotides in length. Their secondary structure includes four short double-helical elements and three loops (D, anti-codon, and T loops).
Source: RNAcentral
GCGAGAAUAGCUCAGUUGGUAGAGCACGACCUUGCCAAGGUCGGGGUCGCGAGUUCGAGUCUCGUUUCUCGCUCAA